This 465-nucleotide ribosomal RNA is filed under the name uncultured bacterium. RNAcentral describes it as "partial 16S ribosomal RNA". It matches the Rfam family "Bacterial small subunit ribosomal RNA", at positions 28 to 507 of the family's 1533-position model. The record is from RNAcentral.
GACGAACGCUGGCGGCGUGCUUAACACAUGCAAGUCGAACGGAAAGGCCCUGCUUGCAGGGUACUCGAGUGGCGAACGGGUGAGUAACACGUGGGUGAUCUGCCCUGCACUUCGGGAUAAGCCUGGGAAACUGGGUCUAAUACCGGAUAGGAGCCAUUUUUAGUGUGAUGGUUGGAAAGUUUUUUCGGUGUAGGAUGAGCUCGCGGCCUAUCAGCUUGUUGGUGGGGUAAUGGCCUACCAAGGCGGCGACGGGUAGCCGGCCUGAGAGGGUGGACGGCCACAUUGGGACUGAGGUACGGCCCAGACGCCGACGGGAGGCAGCAGUGGGGAAUAUUGCACAAUGGGCGCAAGCCUGAUGCAGCGACGCCGCGGGGGGGAUGACGGCCUUCGGGUUGAAAACUCCUUUCGCUAGGGACGAAGCUUUUUGUGACGGUACCUAGAUAAGAAGCACCGGCUAACUACGUG